This 72-nucleotide transfer RNA is filed under the name Ictidomys tridecemlineatus (thirteen-lined ground squirrel). RNAcentral's name for it is "Spermophilus tridecemlineatus (thirteen-lined ground squirrel) tRNA". It matches the Rfam family "tRNA". Rfam says of the family: Transfer RNA (tRNA) molecules are approximately 80 nucleotides in length. Their secondary structure includes four short double-helical elements and three loops (D, anti-codon, and T loops). The record is from Rfam by way of RNAcentral. Lineage: Eukaryota; Metazoa; Chordata; Mammalia; Rodentia; Sciuridae.
AGAGGUGUAGCUCAGUAGUAGAGUACUUGCUUGGCAUGUGCAAAGUCCUGGGUUUGAUUCCCAGCACUGUAA